UACCAGCACCCCGAGUGGGCGGGACGUUUAUUGGGCCUAAAGCAUCCGUAGCCGGUUCUGCAAGUCUUCCGUUAAAUCCACCUGCUUAACAGAUGGGCCGCGGAAGAUACUAUAGAGCUAGGAGGCGGGAGAGGCAAGCGGUACUCGAUGGGUAGGGGUAAAAUCCGUUGAUCCAUUGAAGACCACCAGUGGCGAAGGCGGCUUGCCAGAACGCGCUCGACGGUGAGGGAUGAAAGCUGGGGGAGCAAACCGG
Molecule: ribosomal RNA, 253 nt
Filed under: uncultured bacterium
Lineage: Bacteria
Description: partial 16S ribosomal RNA
Rfam family: Archaeal small subunit ribosomal RNA
Source: RNAcentral